AUUGAACGCUGGCGGCAUGCCUUACACAUGCAAGUCGAACGGCAGCACGGGAGCAAUCCUGGUGGCGAGUGGCGAACGGGUGAGUAAUAUAUCGGAACGUGCCCAGUCGUGGGGAUAACGUAGCGAAAGCUACGCUAAUACCGCAUACGAUCUAUGGAUGAAAGCGGGGGAUCGCAAGACCUCGCGCGAUUGGANCGGCCGAUAUCAGAUUAGGUAGUUGGUGAGGUAAAGGCUCGCCAAGCCGACGAUCUGUAGCUGGUCUGAGAGGACGACCAGCCACACUGGGACUGAGACACGGCCCAGACUCCUACGGGAGGCAGCAGUGGGGAA
This 330-nucleotide ribosomal RNA is filed under the name uncultured bacterium. RNAcentral's name for it is "bacterial SSU rRNA". It matches the Rfam family "Bacterial small subunit ribosomal RNA", at positions 30 to 361 of the family's 1533-position model. The record is from RNAcentral.